UGUUCGGUGGCCUAAAUGGUUAGAGCGUCCGCCUCGGAUGCGGGAGGUCGCGGGUUCGAACCCCAGCCGAAUCA
Molecule: non-coding RNA, 74 nt
Organism: Potamilus streckersoni
Lineage: Eukaryota; Metazoa; Mollusca; Bivalvia; Unionida; Unionidae
Source: the annotation of a GenBank genome assembly